RNAcentral lists this ribosomal RNA (278 nucleotides) under uncultured prokaryote. Its description in RNAcentral is "partial 16S ribosomal RNA". It matches the Rfam family "Bacterial small subunit ribosomal RNA", at positions 524 to 800 of the family's 1533-position model. The record is from RNAcentral.
UACGGAGGUGGCAAGCGUUGUUCGGAAUUACUGGGUGUAAAGGGCGUGUAGGCGGGGAGACAAGUCAGAUGUGAAAUACCGUGGCUUAACUGCGGGGGUGCAUCUGAAACUGUUUCUCUUGAGUGUCGGAGGGGCAGGCGGAAUUCCUGGUGUAGCGGUGAAAUGCGUAGAUAUCAGGAAGAACACCGGUAGCGAAGGCGGCCUGCUGGACGAUUACUGACGUUGAGGCUCGAAGGCGUGGGGAGCAAACAGGAUUAGAUACCCCGGUAGGUCCCUGA